AACUUUGAAAUGGUUGCAUUUGCAUGAGUAUUUUUUCCAUCCUUUUGCUCUCAAAAUAUUUGUCUUUAAACCUAAAGUGCGUCUCCAGUAGAGAAAAUAUAGGUGUACCUUGUGUUUUUAAUCCAGUCUGUCAAUUGCCUUAGAACAUAAAAUGUUUAUCUUAUCAGGACACAUUUCAAAUUUAUACUAUAUUAAUUCCAAUGAGCAUAGAAAUGUGACUUCUGUAUAAAUUGAUUUCUUCCCUUUUUUUGUGCUCUAUUUGUUACAUAUAUUCAAUCUAUGUUACAAACCCAAUGAUAUAAUGCUAAAUUAUUGUCUUCUGUAAUUUUAUGUCUUUCAAAGAAGCUGAGAGAAAAAUAGCAGGUAUAUAUUGCAGAUAUGGUUAUACUAACCUUUUUAUUACCCUCUCUGAUUCUCUCCAUAUAUUCCUAUGUAUUUCAGUUAACCAUUGUGUGUCAUUUCCUUACUCUAAUGAAGCUUUGUUCCCAUCCACCUACUUUGUGCUGUUAUAUAAUUACAUACACAUUGUUUUAACAAUUGCUUUUUAAUCAGUUGAGAAGAAAGGAAAAGAAAUAUGCAAUUAUAAUGUCUUUGUAAAUGACUUACUAAUUACCUUUACCACUGUUUUUAUUUUUUUCAUGUGGAUUCAAAUUACUUUCGGGUAUCACAUGUUUUCUUCCUGAAAAAAAGUUCCUACAAUAUGUCUUGUAAAGCAGUUUUGAUAGAAACGAAAUCUCUUUUUCCAACAAUGCAGGGAUGUCUUUAUUUUGCCUUCAUUUU
This 780-nucleotide long non-coding RNA is filed under the name Homo sapiens (human). RNAcentral's name for it is "HSALNT0146614". The record is from RNAcentral. Lineage: Eukaryota; Metazoa; Chordata; Mammalia; Primates; Hominidae.